Long non-coding RNA from Peromyscus leucopus (white-footed mouse), 1738 nucleotides. RefSeq lists it as uncharacterized. Lineage: Eukaryota; Metazoa; Chordata; Mammalia; Rodentia; Cricetidae. The record is from RefSeq and is a predicted model, not a curated record. The transcript is spliced from 2 exons.
GUCUGAGUGGCAGUUAGCAGGGCCUGGUGGAGAUGGUGUCCGCCACAGGCAGUCUCGGGUCAGCAUUCAAGACUCCUACAGUGGAAACACUGGGCGUGCUUAACAAUUACGAAGCUGGAGUGGUGGUGCAUGCCUUUAUCCAGGCACUAGCCUGGUCUACAGAGUGAGUUCCAGAACAGUCAGGGCUAUGCAGAGAAACCCUAUCUUGGGAAAAGUGAAUGUUCUCAGAAAUCACUGAAGAGAUUUAGUAUUCUCAUUACUCAACUAACUGCUGAGGUAAUGCCUUCGGUCACCAGCUCCAUCUAGCCAUCCUAGACGACUGAAAACAUCAUAUGCCUAAAUGUAUGCAGUUCCCGUCCACUGAAGCAGGAAUGAACAGACAAUGUAAGGCAGAGCAUGCUGUGAGGACUCUGAAAUGCACUCUGCUCUUGGGCUCCUAGCAGCUGCAGUGAAGUGACGCUGACAGGCACUUCUCAGAACCCAUGGAUGCUGAGAGCCAGGGGUCCAGCUGCCUGGGACAGCCAAGCUUGAACUGAAGACGGCACCUGAACAGCACAGCACAGGAGAGCAGCAAGUCCUGCGCAAGGCCCUUGCCCUUCCCACUCUCUUCCUCACCAAGAAGUGGGCUUUGAGACCUACAGGCAGGAGCCAAUCCCCAGCCUCACUCAGGCUCUGGCCAAACAGGAGACAGAAUACCUAGCUGCCCACUCUGACCCUGAGAAUCUGAAAGAUAACCCAACUGGAAGGCAGACUGGUCCAGGGAGGGCAGUGUGGCCAACCAGAGGAUGCAUGCAGUGGGGAGAACUCACAAAAGGACAGAGAGGAAGGAAAAAUGGGCUCCUGAACUGGAAGUUUCCAGAAGGUGGAGUACAGGCUGAAGAGAGAUGUCAUCAGUGGUGCAAACUACAAUACCAAUCUCUAAGAUAAAAGAUGCUCACUGGAGAGACAGUGACAUGACUAUUACGAGAUAACCAACUGCUUUCUGUUUGGAUCUGAAGUCUGCUCCACAGGACAGAAUUCAUACCUGGUAUUGUAAACCUGGUCAAAAGCCCAUGGCUACAAGGUCUAAUCCCCUAGGGGAAAGCCUACUCCUGUUAUCUUCCUAAUGGAUGUGAUGCCCAAACUACCUUCUAAAUAUAUUUAAACCCCUAGUCAGAGCAACUUCCACCAUUUGCAAUAGACUGUAUUUAAUGCAGAAGAAUAAGGAACUAGUGAGUGCUUAGCCUUAAACCAGCCAUCUGUAUCAAUAUGCUCCUUGGCUCCAAGGCUCAGGAAAUAUCCUGGAAGUGAGGCAGACAGAAUCUAAGAGGUAGAGGAUGAAGAGUUUUGUGAAACAAUAAUGUCAAGACAUGACAUGCUGCUACACACAUGAAAUCACAGCAGCUGUGGUUAUGUGCAAAGAUGGGACCCCGUUAACAUUCCUUCACAACUGAGGGGAGGUGCUCGGGAAAGGUGGCCAGGGGAGGGAGCCACCAAAGAAGGUUAAGUUGCCCAUGCUCCAGUAAACUCCUGCCCAUGUUCAUGCCAACAACCCUGAUCAAACUGAGGGUCACAAAACAAAAAGAAAAAAAAAAAAGAUAAGCAGGCUUCAGCGACUCACACUUCAUAUGCAGAGACAGAUCAAAGGACAUUAAAGCCAGUAACACGUGUGCUUUUGAACCUUGUAUUCAGGAGGCAGGACGAUCACUGGUUUAAAGCCAACCUGGGCUACACUGACACCCUGUCUCCAAAAAAAAAA